Rhododendron vialii is the source of this 653-nucleotide long non-coding RNA. RefSeq lists it as uncharacterized. The transcript has 3 exons. The record is from RefSeq and is a predicted model, not a curated record. NCBI's taxonomy places the organism in Eukaryota, Viridiplantae, Streptophyta, Magnoliopsida, Ericales, Ericaceae.
AGAAGAAGAGGGGGAAGACACCACAACCAACCCAACCCACCGAUGACCACCACCGCCGAUGACACCAACGAAGAAGAUGCCUCGCCUCCAGAUCGUUGUCCACCGCCGUACGCCAACGAGCUUCGAAUCACAAUCACUAGUAUUGAUUUCGAACGCACACGAAGGUCUCGACCACCACGGCCGCCAUACGCCAAUGAAGAUUUUUUAGAAGAAUCCUACCAAGAUUAAGAACAAGGAGUAUCGCAACACCACUUUGAAUGGUGUUAUGCAAGAGGGGAUCUCCUUUUUGCAGAACUACUACUGUCCCAUAUCAUUAAAACUCCUACUGUCCUAGCAAGAGGGAGACCACAAAGCAAUUCCACAACUCCAAAAUCAAGUUCCGCUUGGUGUAUGGAGUGUCCAACCAAGAAGAGAUGUUAGCGACACUUUAGGACUUUUGUUUUUAUUUUGCUUGUAAUAUAGCUUAGGGUAGACGAUGAUGAUGUUUGGCUCAUGGCCUUUGCUUCAAUUUGACAAUGUUUCAAGGCUUGUUUAAAAAGAUACAAGUUUGUACUCCAUUUUUGUUGCUUGGUACAUUAUGAAAUUCAAAUAUCACUAUGGUGUCAACUUCUUGGAACUUCUCUACAUAGGUUUUCUUGAUGAUUUAUUGUCCU